RNAcentral lists this ribosomal RNA (252 nucleotides) under Streptococcus anginosus SK52 = DSM 20563. RNAcentral describes it as "partial 16S ribosomal RNA". It matches the Rfam family "Bacterial small subunit ribosomal RNA", at positions 524 to 776 of the family's 1533-position model. The record is from RNAcentral. RNAcentral also lists the same sequence under 1 other name. Lineage: Bacteria; Bacillati; Bacillota; Bacilli; Lactobacillales; Streptococcaceae.
UACGUAGGUCCCGAGCGUUGUCCGGAUUUAUUGGGCGUAAAGCGAGCGCAGGCGGUUAGAAAAGUCUGAAGUGAAAGGCAGUGGCUCAACCAUUGUAGGCUUUGGAAACUGUUUAACUUGAGUGCAGAAGGGGAGAGUGGAAUUCCAUGUGUAGCGGUGAAAUGCGUAGAUAUAUGGAGGAACACCGGUGGCGAAAGCGGCUCUCUGGUCUGUAACUGACGCUGAGGCUCGAAAGCGUGGGGAGCGAACAGG